Molecule: long non-coding RNA, 2347 nt
Filed under: Sus scrofa (pig)
Lineage: Eukaryota; Metazoa; Chordata; Mammalia; Artiodactyla; Suidae
Description: lncRNA (ENSSSCG00000056410.1)
Source: RNAcentral
GGGCCCACUGCACCCAGCCCCUUCCUCUCCAGACCUCCCCUUCCAUGAACUCCAACAUGUCACACAUCUCGCCCACCCAAAUGCAAAGCACUCUUCCUCUCUCUCUCUCUGGCUGAGCUUUCAGCUCCCUUCCAAGAGGCGUUUGCUCCGUGAACACCGGCAUCUGUUUCAGAGGCGUCACUUCAAUAGAGCCACUUCUGUUCCUUCGGACUCACCACUCACCUACAUGAAAGGCAGAGUCUCUCAGAAACCAGAAUGAAAGGAUUCCUCGGCCAGCUUUCCUUUCUGCUGAAAGGAUGGCCCCAUCUCCCAGAUCGCCCAAAGAAUCCAGGUUAGCCGGUGGCUCAGCAGUGGUGGGGAAGUAUUUCAGGAGUAAUCUCUGUCAUUUCUCAAAUGGCCACAUUUGAAAGUAGCGUCCUUCUCGGGUCUCUUCUGCUGGGCCGUUUAAAGGAGAUUGUGAUGGAAUUUCAAGGCUGUGCUUUGGGGAUGGGGUCCAGCCCAGCUGCCCCAUCUUGCUUGGGCCCUGCGUGCCUGGGCCUUGCCUGAAUUUCCUUUCUCUGUAUUUUGGCAUUUCUUCCUUCACCUCCUCUGGAUCUGGAGUCAUCUCCAACUUUUUCUUUCCCCUGAGAAUUCUGCCUAACCAGUGACGCCAGGCGAUGCUGUGGGAGGAGCAUCGGGUCUGGAAUCAGGCAAAGCUGGAUGUGAAACUCCACGCUAUCACUCAAGAGCUCUGGAGCCCUGAGCGGCCACUGGCCUCCUGUUUCCUCUUCUCUCCAGCACGUCAGCUCGCCAAGUCACCUCUUUGGAGAGGUGCUUCCUGACACCCCAGCUAAAAUGGGACCCACUGCAUCAUUCUCUAAUGCUUACCUUUGUAAGCAUUUAAAUGCCUUUGUUUACUGGGUUAUGUGUGUAUGCAUCUCACCAGGCUGUAGGCCCUAUGAUGCAGAUACAUCUGUGAAUAUUGUAAAAUGCUGUCCAUUGCUGUACCACUCAGUGUACAGAAGCGCCUGGUGCAUAGUAGGCUCUCAGUCAGUAUUUAUUGAAUGAGUGAGUGAAAUAAAUCAAACUCUCCAGAUGAUGGAUGGGAAGAGACCCAGAGUGUGUCCCAAAAUACAGAAGAAUUACACAACUCGGGCUCAAAGACCCAUCUCACCAGGAAAAAAAAAAUAAGACCGAUCCCCUUCUAGCUUUUGUUUGAGGCAGAAAAGGCCUACACGAAGGACACACCAAGUGUUUGAUCAGCUGGACUUACUACCCCAGCGUGUCUAAGGUAAUAUUUCAUUGGAUUUCACCCUGUAUUUGAAAGCAAAACAAUUCGCAUUUGAAAAAUCUCAUUACUAGCAUCUUCCCUCCAAAUCCAUUAACGGCGCGAGUGUUUCUGGCAGCCGAGAUCACCUCGGAUUAUAGUAUGAAAUGCAACUCUGGGGAAAACUGUAUGUUUCAAGAUGUUUGUACCAUUCAAUUGUCAAAUAUUCACACGGUUAUGAUUCUCAAAGAAAGAACACAAUGUAGGGAAAUUGGUAACAAAAUAAAAGCUCCAGGAUGUAUUGAGAGAAGGCAGCCAAAGGAUUCCUGCCUGACAUAUCUAAUCCCAGGAACGGGAAAUUAAAAACCACGCCAGAAUAUCAAUGCUUCACAUAGAACAUGGCUUUUCUUGAGCACGAUUCCAGGUCUCACCCUGCAGAGCAAUCGCGGCCUUCACCAGACCUUCGGGUCUCUUGCAAGCACCCUUUUCUCAUCCCAGAGGAAACAAGAAGUUUCCUUUUCUCCCACCCAGACUCACUGCAGCAACUAAAUCUGGCUUUUCACUAAUCUCUCAUUUCACAUGUCCACCCCUGUCUUGGUGAACUCAAUGACAUCAUACUCAAAGACUCAUCAGCCUUUAGAGCUGAAGAGGUUCUGUAAGAUUGGGGAAAAAAAAAAAAAAAAAAAAAAAAAGGUGAGGGUUGGGGUUUUGUAGUCAAAGGAAUUUGGGAACUACAGCAAUGCGACUUUCCUCUCAGAGCUUCCCAGUUCAUACAGGCAUGUUCAAGGUUCUGAGAUGUCCCAUGCUCAAGAAUCCUGUUUAUAUUUAUUUAACUUAGCAUUGUUCCAAAUUAGCUGGCUAGGCAGCCUUUAAGUUCUCAUUGUGGCGCAGUGGAAAUGAAUCCUACUGGGAACCAUGAGGUUGCGGGUUUGAUCCCUGGCCUCACUCAGUGGGUUAAGGAUCUGGUGUUGCUGUGAGCUCUGGUGUAGGUUGCAGACGUGGCUCGGAUCUGGCAUUGCUGUGGCUCUGGCGUAGGCUGGCAACUGUAGCUCUGAUUAGCUCCCUAGCCUGGGAACCUCCAUAUGCCAAGGGUGUGGCCCU